ACUCCUACGGGAGGCAGCAGUGGGGAAUUUUGCGCAAUGGGGGAAACCCUGACGCAGCAACGCCGCGUGAGUGAUGAAGGCCCUUGGGUCGUAAAGCUCUGACAGAGGGAAAGAAAUGUGGGUGGCUAAUAUCCAUUCCACUUGACGGUACCCUCAAAGGAAGCACCGGCUAACUCCGUGCCAGCAGCCGCGGUAAUACGGAGGGUGCGAGCGUUGUUCGGAUUUAUUGGGCGUAAAGCGCGUGUAGGCGGUUUUAUAAGUCUGAUGUGAAAGCCCCGGGCUCAACCUGGGAAGUGUAUUGGAUACUGUAAGACUUGAAUACGGGAGAGGGCAGUGGAAUUCCUGGUGUAGGAGUGAAAUCCGUAGAUAUCAGGAGGAACACCGGUGGCGAAGGCGGCUGCCUGGACCGAUAUUGACGCUGAGACGCGAAAGCGUGGGUAGCAAACAGGAUUAGAUACCCUGGUAGUCCACGCUGUAAACGAUGAGAACUAGGUGUUGCGGGUA
This 504-nucleotide ribosomal RNA is filed under the name uncultured Geobacter sp. Its description in RNAcentral is "bacterial SSU rRNA". It matches the Rfam family "Bacterial small subunit ribosomal RNA", at positions 335 to 831 of the family's 1533-position model. Lineage: Bacteria; Pseudomonadati; Thermodesulfobacteriota; Desulfuromonadia; Geobacterales; Geobacteraceae. The record is from RNAcentral.